UUUUACAACAUGGAGGUUGGAGACUGACGAGUCUCUUCAUGAUUAGCAUGAUUCUCAUCAUCGCAG
Caenorhabditis elegans is the source of this 66-nucleotide non-coding RNA. The record is from Ensembl. Lineage: Eukaryota; Metazoa; Nematoda; Chromadorea; Rhabditida; Rhabditidae.